GAAUUGUUCGCAAUGGGCGCAAGCCUGACGACGCAACGCCGCGUGGAGGAUGAAGAUCUUCGGGUCGUAAACUCCUUUCGAUCGAGACGAAUUUCUCCGGAGUGAAUAACUCCGGAGGUUGACGGUACCGAGAGCAGCCACCCCGGCUAACUCCGUGCCAGCAGCCGCGGUAAUACGGGGGGGGCAAGCGUUGUUCGGAAUUACUGGGCGUAAAGGGCUCGUAGGUGGCCAACUAAGUCGGACGUGAAAUCCCUCGGCUUAACCGGGGAACUGCGUCCGAUACUGGUUGGCUUGAGUUUGGGAGAGGGAUGCGGAAUUCCAGGUGUAGCGGUGAAAUGCGUAGAUAUCUGGAGGAACACCGGUGGCGAAGGCGGCAUCCUGGACCAAUACUGACGCUGAGGAGCGAAAGCCAGGGGAGCAAACGGG
RNAcentral lists this ribosomal RNA (426 nucleotides) under uncultured bacterium. RNAcentral describes it as "bacterial SSU rRNA". It matches the Rfam family "Bacterial small subunit ribosomal RNA", at positions 359 to 776 of the family's 1533-position model. The record is from RNAcentral.